CUUCUCUAGGAGCAGUUCUCAUCAAAAGAAAGGAGUGUUUCUCUCGCUUGCAUCGUUCCUCAUAGUGGCGUUCAGAUCUUCAAUUGCUCGAGUUCAAAUAUACAAAAUCUUAUUCAAAAUCUUUAAUGAGGGAUAAACUUCUGUGAUGUGGUCCUAAGAUUGGAAUGUUCACUUGGGGAGUUAGCCUUGCAUUCGUCAUCUGAUGCUUGUUGUUGGCUUAAAAAAGUCUCAGCAGCCCAAGGUGCAUCCACCUCUAAGAAGUCGAUCAAGAUGAAGCACUCCCUUCGCUCCUCUGGACUGCUGGAUAUUUUGGCAUCGGGCGAAGACAGCAUCAGGUCUUCUUGACAGGGGUGCUCCUGCCUCUUCCUCAGAAGGAAUUUUGUUUUUUGCUUAGUUCCUUUUGUCAUCUAUAUGUUCAUCCUUUUUAUUUUUGCUCUUUUGGUUUUUUCUGUAGCAGCACCUAGUUUUCUCCCUAUGAUUUAGCAUAUCCUCCAACUCGGAGCUAGCCCUAAAUCAUCUGUAGAAUACUAAUUUUGUACGUUCUUUA
Molecule: long non-coding RNA, 547 nt
Organism: Asparagus officinalis (garden asparagus)
Lineage: Eukaryota; Viridiplantae; Streptophyta; Magnoliopsida; Asparagales; Asparagaceae
Exons: 3
Source: RefSeq, a predicted model, not a curated record